GUUAGCGAGUGGACAGGGUCGGGGGUAAUAGGUAUGGGUGAGGGGUUGGGCGGAAUGUGUUGGCGGUAAGGGGGGGUGAGCGGCCUGUUAAGUCAGAUGUGAAAACCCGAGGCUUAACCUAGGGACGGUGUUUGAAACUAACGAGGUAGAGGCGCGAAUAGGGGGGUGGAAUUCCCGGUGUAGCGGUGAAAUGCGCAGAUAUCUGGAAGAACACCAGUGGCGAAGGCGGCACUCUGGGACGGUACUGACGCUGAGACGCGAAAGCGUGGGGAGCGAACAGGAUUAGAUACCCGAGUAGUC
Molecule: ribosomal RNA, 300 nt
Filed under: uncultured Neomoorella sp.
Lineage: Bacteria; Bacillati; Bacillota; Clostridia; Neomoorellales; Neomoorellaceae
Description: bacterial SSU rRNA
Rfam family: Bacterial small subunit ribosomal RNA (bases 52-300)
Source: RNAcentral